GGGGAGUAUUUUUCACCGCAGAGAACCGAAGAGGACAAUGCCUCCAUUUUGUUUGAGCCGCUGCAGCACAAACUGAAAUUGACACAGCGAUUGAAAAUGAAAAAUUCAACCCGCGGAGGAAACGUCCGAGCUGCGUGUGAACAGAUCAGUAGGAAUAAUAUCUGCUGGCAAACAUCUGUCACAUCCACUAUCGGACUCGCAGCACAGAAGGCUGGACGUUAUGAAGUGGGACUCAGACGUCACUUAGGCAGCACCAGUAAACAUGGAAGCUCUUCGCUGAUCCACAAAGCAAAAACUGUAGUUCAACACAAGCUGCAUCUCGAG
Long non-coding RNA from Gasterosteus aculeatus aculeatus (three-spined stickleback), 324 nucleotides. Lineage: Eukaryota; Metazoa; Chordata; Actinopteri; Perciformes; Gasterosteidae. The record is from Ensembl.